This 230-nucleotide unclassified non-coding RNA is filed under the name uncultured fungus. RNAcentral's name for it is "partial contains 18S rRNA, ITS1, 5.8S rRNA, ITS2 and 28S rRNA". Lineage: Eukaryota; Fungi. The record is from RNAcentral.
AAGGAUCAUUAACAAAUCUUUCUACAUAACCUGUGUAACUGUCUGUUCCUGGAGUGUGGGUGGAGUGUGUGAGGGCGGCUAUGGGGAGUGCUGCUCUGUUGUGUGUGUUCAUUCAUUGAACACCACACGCACAGUCAACACACACACCAGGACAACUAACAUAACAAACUAUAGUCAGAGCAUCAUAUAUAUAACAUAUACAACUUUUAACAAUGGAUCUCUUGGCUCUU